RNAcentral lists this ribosomal RNA (2187 nucleotides) under Triticum aestivum (bread wheat). Its description in RNAcentral is "partial small subunit ribosomal RNA". Lineage: Eukaryota; Viridiplantae; Streptophyta; Magnoliopsida; Poales; Poaceae. The record is from RNAcentral.
AUGGAGACGAUAUGGCAUUCACGUGUGGUCUUCGCCGAGAUGACAUGCCUGUCUACGGACAAUUUUAAUCAGAUUGCACCACUGGCCGGCCGGCUCUUCUUCGAGCAAGAGGCGAUCCGUGAAAAUCCGCCCCGCACGACCACCCCGCAACCCGUCCAACCCCACGCCCCCACCCUUCCUCCUGAGCGCCGCCACCCCUCUAGGCCACCGCGUCGCCGGCCCUCUCCCCCACUGCGUCGCUGGCCCUCUGCCCCACCGCGCCGCCGGCCCUCUCCUCCACCGCGCCACCGACCCUCCCCCCACCGUGCUGCCGACCCUCUCUCCCACCGCGCCGCCGACCGUCUGCCCCACAGAGGAUUAGUUCAAGUCCUCGCGCGAGCCACCGCCGGCCACCUUCCUUCGGGGAGCAACCGCCGGCCGCCUUCCUCGCGCGAGCCAUCGUCGGCCGCCUUCCUCCGGCGAGCAACCGCCAGCCGCCUUCCUCCCGUGAGCCACCGCUGGCUACCUUCCUCCGCCGUGUCUGCCUUAGCAUGCCGCGCCGUGUCUCCACUACCACCUCUGUACAAAUGUCUCUCUCCCCCCACGCCAUCCUCUGCACCCCUCGCUCGCGCCACGGCCACAGGUUCACUCCCGUGCGCCAUCCUCGGCUGCCGUACCAUGGCCUGCGCUCAGCUGCUGCGGGUGGAGCCGCUGGGUCGAGGAACUUUGCCUCGACAGUACGAUAACACACUCUGCUGCCGGUGGCGAGAAGAGCUGCGCGCAGGCCACCCGGUGUCCACCAUCGACCCGUCUCAGUCAUCUCCCUCUCAUCCUCUCUCUCUCUGGUCUAUGUUUGUAUUGCUAGAUGUACUAACUGAUGGGAAGUACAUGCCGGGAACAUGCGGUCGUACAUCCUGCUCGAAUCUCUCCUACCCAGCUCCUCACGGUGAAAAUCUGCAGCCUCAUGUCCGCACUUCCAAUUUAUUUCGAAGUGAACUAAUGCUGCUCUUGAUUCAGGCAUGGGGAGAAGGCAGAAAAAUUUUUGUAGAUGCAACAACUAGUUUCUUUUCUUGUGCAAAAAUUCAGGUUGGGAAGCUUAUUUCUUCCAAAGUGAUUGUUUGGGUACUACAAGCUCCCACAGAGUGGAAGCGGUUGUUACAACAGUAUUAUGGAGUAUGUGAUCAGCUCAUGCAGUAUAUACUAUGCACAAAAUGUCUGUACGUGAAAAUUUUACUUCAUGUUACUCGUGAUCUCGCAACUGUAUGCUCACCUGUAUCUCUCAUUGCUUAUUGUUACAUUAAUUUCCGUGGAUUAUGUCAACUUCCCGACAACAGAAGCAUGUACCGCCAGUACAUGUAUUACUACUGCGAAGGUCACCUUAGUGUGCAUUCUCUGUUCAUCUUGCAGGUGAAGGAGCUCCUCUUGGGUUCAUCUUGCAGAUGUGGUGCUGACAGUACUAGGCGUUGGUUGUGUUUGAUCAAAUGCCUAGGAGCACCAAUGAUUUACACAUGGAAUCCGGAUGAUUCUGUUUCUUCAUCCCCCAAGUACUUCAAUGGUGGCUCCUUCCCGGCUGGCUCAAUCACUACUAGAUUUAGCUUGAGAAUAGCAACCAGUUCGAGCUUAGCUGAGAAGAUUAAGAAUCGUUGUGAACCAAGUUCAUGUCGCCAUGCACCGCCUCCACAUUCCCCAGCGGCCGCCACCGCCAUGCGCCACCCCCACAUCCUGUUGCAAAAUGGUAAAGUUCAAGUGUACCAUAUAACUGGAAUUAACCGAUGCAAGUCCAAGAAGGAUUGGCCGGUGCUGCCGGCUGGCGUCAAGUUUGAUCCCAUGGAUCAGGAGCUGAUCGAGCACCUUGAGGCCAAAGUGAGUGAUGACAGUGCGAGAUCUCACCCUCUCUUCAAUUUGUUCAUACUAACCAUCGACGGCGAGCACGGCAUAUGCUACACCCAUCCUGAGAAACUUCCAGGUAUCACACUGAGUGGCCUAAGCAAGCAUUUCUUCCAGUGCAACUCCAGGGAAUUCAAAAGGGGCACGUGGACGCUUCACAAGAUACAUUCAGAGUGCGGCAUGCACGUGAUAUGGCAUAAGACCGGCAAUACCUUGCCGGUGAUGGUCAAUGGCCGGCAGACAACCAGCAAAAAGGUUCUAAUGCUACACACCAACAAGGACUUCGACCAACAGAGGACCAACUGGGUGAUGCACCAGUAG